Molecule: long non-coding RNA, 320 nt
Filed under: Helianthus annuus (common sunflower)
Lineage: Eukaryota; Viridiplantae; Streptophyta; Magnoliopsida; Asterales; Asteraceae
Description: hypothetical non coding rna
Source: RNAcentral
GCGCGAGUUUGACCGAUUCUAUGAGCUCGGUCAAUAGCUUGAUCUUCAGUGGUGGGAUUCCACCAAAGAUCGAAAAGAAUAACAUGAGAGGCAGCCACCAUGUUCAAACCUAGAUUCCCGGCUUUCAGUGACAUCAGCAUAACAUGAACCUCGGGAUCAGUGUUGAACUGUUUAACAGCACGGUCCCUUGAAGAUAAAGACAUUGAGCCAUCAAGUCUCCUGUAUUCAAUACUAUACUGAUUGAGCGACAUUUCAAAAAGAUCCAACAUUCUCGUCCACUGCGAAAACACGAUUGCUUUUAUCGGUCCUUCAACACCGGA